This 122-nucleotide ribosomal RNA is filed under the name Bifidobacterium biavatii. The record is from RNAcentral. Lineage: Bacteria; Bacillati; Actinomycetota; Actinomycetes; Bifidobacteriales; Bifidobacteriaceae.
UUUGCGGCGGUCAUGGCCCAGGUGAGACGCCCGGCUCCAUUCCGAACCCGGAAGCUAAGGCCUGGCACGGCAAUGGUACUGCACCCGACAGAGUGUGGGAGAGUAGCACACCGCCGCAUCAA